This 787-nucleotide long non-coding RNA is filed under the name Homo sapiens (human). Its description in RNAcentral is "HSALNT0237235". Lineage: Eukaryota; Metazoa; Chordata; Mammalia; Primates; Hominidae. The record is from RNAcentral.
UGGGACUAUAGGCACGUGCCCCCACGCCCUGCUAAUUUUUGUAUUUUUAGUAGAGACGGGGUUUCACCAUGUUGGCCAGGAUGGUCUCCAUCUCUUGACCUCGUGAUCCACCCACUUCAGCCUCCCAAAAUACUGGGAUUACAGGCAUGAGCCACUGAGCCUGGUCCCCGAAGGGUAAAUUUUAUUAACCAAACACUGAUUCAUUUUUAUUUACUGUGUAGUAACUUGUGGGGAAUGUUUAUUAUGUUAUAAACUAUAUCCUUUAUUAUUUUAAAGAACCCUUCCUUGUCCAACAUAAUGAUUUUUCACUUUUCUGGUUUACACUUGUUUGUUGUAUCAUUGACCACCCCUCGAUUUUCAGUUCUUUAGGUUAUUUUGUUUUAAAUGUCUCCCUCAGGUUUUGAUUUUUGGUACAGCCUGCUGAUAUUUAAGGGAAUAAAAGAUUUUAAAAGCCCUCCCUACCCUGUUAUGAACGACAAGGAGGUCAGCCCACAUAUGUGAUCCCCCACUUUCUUUCCACAUCCCAAUUCAUGAGUUUCGUGAAUUACAUUAUUAUGUAUUAUCAAGAUCUGGUUGCUGGAAAGUCCAGGAUCAAGGUGCCAGCAGAUGUGGUGUCUGGUGAAGGUCCACUUCCUGCUUUAUAGACAGCACCUUCUUGCUGUUUCUUCACACGGGAGAGGAAGAAAGAAAGCUCUCUGGGGCCUCUUUGAUAAGGGCACUAAUCCUAUUUAUGAGGGCUCUGCCAUCAUGACCUAUUCACCUCCCAAAGACCCCACUUCCAAAUACC